Molecule: long non-coding RNA, 1070 nt
Organism: Neopelma chrysocephalum (saffron-crested tyrant-manakin)
Lineage: Eukaryota; Metazoa; Chordata; Aves; Passeriformes; Pipridae
Exons: 3
Source: RefSeq, a predicted model, not a curated record
GUUGCUGUUGGCACAGCAUUCCUGCUGCUCUAGGAGGAGAAACACCAGCCUGUUUUUCAUCUGUCCUUUGUUUCUGAUUUAUGGAUCCCUCUAAAGCAGAAGUGAAAGACUUAUUGUGAUGGCAAAAAGAUGAGUCAGUGCCCUGGGUGAGGGGAGAGCAGCAGCUGGAGACACUCACCGAAAAGCAACGCCUCGGAAACCAGAGCAGCUCUCAUGUCCAGCAGUGCCAAGAGAUGCAAUUUCUCCUCUAACAAGAACCACCAGGACACAGGGAGUGGGAGAAGGCUUCCUCAUGACCUGGCAAUUGGCUGCUGAGCGAGUAUUGCCGUGAAAAGCAGAGGAUUUGUGAACAAGCAGCGGACACGGCACAUCCUGCUCCCACCCAGCCCAUCCCGAGGAUGCUCCUGGAGCUGGACUGAGCCUGGCCUGGGUCUGGGCUCCUGGGGAACAACUUCAGAGCUGCUGCUGGUCCCUCACAGCACAGAGGCACCAGGGAAGGUGUAGAUUUGAGCCGCUCAAGCAGGAGGAAUUGCUGACUCCAAGGAGCACAUUCCCCAUCCAUCUCUGCAUCCCCUCUGAUGUUUUUGGCAUUUAUUUUGGGCAAAUAUGAGCAAAGUGGGAUCUGAAGCUGUCCCUGUCACUUCCUGACCAGGUGAAGCCUCCUGAGGCUUCACAUAAGCAGACUUGUCCCCUAAAGCUUAAGAUGGUUGAAUCACAGAUGGAUCCUUUUCCAGUUCCUUUGAAGUUCCUGAUUAAGCAGUGACUUUUCAUGUAUCUUCAACACAAAGCCAAUUCCUCAUCUGCCACAAGAGCAUCAAAUGGAAGAGGAUGUGACACCAGCCCAAACAGAAUGCCAGAAGCUUCCACAGAAAACUGUGGAAAUUCCUCUUUGAAUUCUCAGAAAAGUCAAACUUUUCAGGUUCCCUGGCUCCAGAGCAUGAAGUGGAGGCACCAUCUCCCUGCAUCCCUGGUUCCAUGAGAGCCCACUGGAUUUGCCAUUUUGCUGUGCUCUGUCUGCUCCUGCUAUAGGAAGAUCUUGGCCCUCCUUAAGUCAUACACAAGAAAUACAA